RNAcentral lists this ribosomal RNA (413 nucleotides) under uncultured bacterium. RNAcentral describes it as "bacterial SSU rRNA". It matches the Rfam family "Bacterial small subunit ribosomal RNA", at positions 505 to 916 of the family's 1533-position model. The record is from RNAcentral.
GUGCCAGCAGCCGCGGUAAUACGUAGGUGGCAAGCGUUGUCCGGAUUUAUUGGGCGUAAAGCGAACGCAGGCGGGAGAAUAAGUCAGCUGUGAAAGCCCCCAGCUUAACUGGGGAAGUGCAACUGAAACUAUUUUUCUUGAGUGCAGAAGAGGAGAGUGGAACUCCAUGUGUAGCGGUGGAAUGCGUAGAUAUAUGGAAGAACACCAGUGGCGAAGGCGGCUCUCUGGUCUGUUACUGACGCUGAGGCUCGAAAGCAUGGGUAGCGAACAGGAUUAGAUACCCUGGUAGUCCAUGCCGUAAACGAUGAGUGCUAAGUGUUGGGAGGUUUCCGCCUCUCAGUGCUGCAGCUAACGCAUUAAGCACUCCGCCUGGGGAGUACGACCGCAAGGUUGAAACUCAAAUGAAUUGACGG